RNAcentral lists this long non-coding RNA (2719 nucleotides) under Daphnia pulex (common water flea). Its description in RNAcentral is "uncharacterized LOC124193915". The record is from RNAcentral. Lineage: Eukaryota; Metazoa; Arthropoda; Branchiopoda; Diplostraca; Daphniidae.
UUCAGGUUCUUUUUUCUUUUCUUUUAUUUUCGGGAGGAGGGAGGGGUUGUGAAUCAUCGGUGAUGGCGUUUCUCAAAUUCCAGUGGAUAUUUUGUAGUAGAAACCGGAGCAGACUGUCAAUGUUUUUGUUGGCAUGUAACGUCGAGUGCCAAACUACCCAACGGCACGUGACUUGGAUGCCAAACCACCACACAUAUUUUCUUACUGUAAAACAUGCGAGAUCCUAUCGUAGGGGCAGCAGCGGUAGAAUGUGUUUAAAGUUUUUCGUAGAACAAUUAUUGUGCAUCCGGUUUUCCUUUUAACUUUUCAUUGUAAUGGACGGAAAUUCUUCAUUUAAACAAUUCAUUUGUGUUUUGUAAAAGUAUUGGCCCAGAUUAUUUGCUUAGACGUGAGUUUUAAAUUUAUUCCCUAUUGACUUCCCAGAGGGUCCCAAAGGGUCUUAUAUUGUAGCGGUCUUAAAGUAAUUAUCUGAGGGUUUAAUUUUAAACUAAGUGUAACUUGUUCACCAACUAUUAAAUAAUCCCGACUCGUUCAGCGGAUGUCGAGCACCGGUGAGAAAACUUGAUCGUUUUUAAGCGGUUUGGAUUUAGCGGGGAUAUUUUAAAUAUUUCUAUCAAAUUCUUUACAAGAUGGCGCUAAUAGAAUAAUAGAAACAAAAGGGUCGUCUGCUUACGUUUUGUUUCCAAGUUUCGAAAAAGAGACUCAAGUUCAAGAUUACAAAAGAAAACGGGACGAUCACAUUUUGGGAAACGUGCACGUGGCUGCACACGAAAUAACACAUAAAAUAAGAAAAAUGUGGUCGUCGUGUCAACUCUGGUGUCGUGGCUCUUUAAAUAGAAUCGCUUCAUACACACUCCAUGCUGUUUAGCAGAUUUGAGGCCUGAGUCAGUCAUCAUAAUAACAACAUGAUAUGCAACUUUUGCUGGUGCUGCUAUUGUCCUGUCAAUCAGCAACAAUCUCAGUCUCAUCGCUUGGACAAACAUCAUCCCUGUUGAUUGGAGAUUCUACCCAUGGCCGAGCUACGUAUCUCUUCCUUCCUUCCCCUUUCUUUAAAUGUCCUCGUGUACACUUCAUGUGAGUGUGGGUGUAUUCACGAGGACCCCCUUUUCUCUCUAUCCCGACUGGUGGAUUCAACUUUUCAGCGGAUGGAUGGAGCACUUGUGGAAGGAUGCCUGGCUGCAUUUCCCAGACAUCAAGGUAGGAAACAUUUAUCUCUUUUUCCCUACUACUCCGACUAUUGGGUAGCGUUGAUUAUAAAUAGUUGGUAUGAUUAUUCCUGAGCUAGGCCGUUAUUGACUGGAACUGUUUUCUCUUGCCGUUUUCGUUGACUCGGUCAGGGUUCAUUAGUUAGCUCAUAAUAUGUAGAACGACUGCAGAUCAGGCUUAUUUUGUUUUGUUUUGUAUCGCACAACUCUGUGAAGAAAACAAUUUUCAAAAUAUUUGAACUUGGACCCAAAAGAGACCUGCCCCCACACCUGCAGCUGCCCCCUCUUAUUUGCAGUUAUAUUGCACAUAUUUGAAAUGGUCAAGGAUAUUUAUGUCUAUUUUUCUGUGUCAUGAUCUGCCAUUCUAUACUCAUAUUAUUUUCUGUUCUGUUUUCAAAUUUCCACUUGGCACUCGCUUCCGUGUGUCACGCGCGUUACCCUUGUGUUCUUGUGCAGACACGCAAAGGUGCAUUAUCAACCUUAUGCCAAAUUGAAUGCGUAAACCACCAUAACUUUCAUUUAGGUAAAAUUGAAAAUGCUAAAUUCUCAUUUUUACUUCAAUUAAUUUUUAUUUUGGCUUUUUUGUCAUUUGAAACGUUCAAAAUAAGCCAAUUCAACAAUAGUUUAUUUGAAGCGAGUUUCAUUGGACAUGACUAAUUAGCUUCAAUCCUAAAGCUUUAUAAUCAAAUGAAUUUACGGUCUUAGACUACUUGGAACUCAACAUUGUGUAAAUGGGGAAAUCGGGCAUUAAAACUUGGGAUUUUGACUUCGACUAUCAAUAUCCAGGGCUUUAAAAUCUAGUUUCUGCCACGCCUAUUUCUAGUUUUGUCAGCUUGACUAGAAAUCUGGUCAACCAAAUUGCGCCAACACGUUAUAGUUAGGUCUAAAAAAAGAGUCCACAUGUUUCAGCUACAAAUUCGAGAGCCUUUUGAAUUUAUUUUUUUCGGUCAUAAUAAAAUCUAGAGCUUGGGAAAUUGAAUUGAUCUUUUCAUUCAAAAAAUGAUCUCCUUAUUUAGACAUUUUUUGAAGGACUAAAUGGCCUUGACGAAAAGUGUGCGCAAUUUCCAUAUAUCAAACGGUGAAAUAUUUCAUUUCCUUUCCAUCAAACUGAAUUAUCUAUGCAUGGCUUGAAUGUUCUGCGUGCGUGUCUCCGAUUUCUUGUCUCGAUGUACAACAACCAUUGUACAUAUAAGAUCACAGCAUGUUUGUGUGUGUGACCAUCACGGGCGAGUUAGGUGGACUAAUGCAAUUAAAACGACUGGAAAGAGAACAUUGCGCGCGUGCAUGUGUGUGACGGUGGUGAAGGUUAGUCUCUCAUGCAAUGGACAUUUUUUUAUUCACGAUGAGUCUCGUGUUGUAGGUAUCCUUUUUUAGUUUGAUUCGUCACUCAUCAAAAUAGAUAGUAUCACAUCUAGAACUUUGAUGAAAAACCCGUUUGCGGGCGUAUUCGAAAAUUUCGAACCAACUUUUUAUGUGCAUCUAAUAAAUCGGUUGUGGACAAAAUAAUAAUAAAA